Molecule: transfer RNA, 73 nt
Filed under: Ailuropoda melanoleuca (giant panda)
Lineage: Eukaryota; Metazoa; Chordata; Mammalia; Carnivora; Ursidae
Rfam family: tRNA
About the family: Transfer RNA (tRNA) molecules are approximately 80 nucleotides in length. Their secondary structure includes four short double-helical elements and three loops (D, anti-codon, and T loops). Further hydrogen bonds mediate the characteristic L-shaped molecular structure. tRNAs have two regions of fundamental functional importance: the anti-codon, which is responsible for specific mRNA codon recognition, and the 3' end, to which the tRNAs corresponding amino acid is attached (by aminoacyl-tRNA synthetases). tRNAs cope with the degeneracy of the genetic code in two manners: having more than one tRNA (with a specific anti-codon) for a particular amino acid; and 'wobble' base-pairing, i.e. permitting non-standard base-pairing at the 3rd anti-codon position.
Source: Rfam by way of RNAcentral
ACAUGGCUGGCUCAGUUGAUAGAGCAUGAGACUCUGGAUCUUGGGGUCGUGAGUUAGAGCCCCAUGUUGGGUG